CGGAGGAUGGAGGAGCAGGGAUUACAGGGGUAACCCAAUCCUGGUGCCCAGGAGGGGGGGCGGUGGGGGACCAGGAGCUACCCCCCAGCUGCUCAGGGACCCCAGUAGCUUCUGCCUACCCUGUCACGGGGCAGCGCCAAGGCCCGCUCAAUGCCUGCUUUGUGUAGCCUAGGAUAAUGAUUUACAAACUUGGGGAAUCAGGAGGUGCGAAAAGAAGACGACCCUCUUAACCCAGCCAUUGUCUCCCCCCUGCUGGAAUGCCCAGCACGCCGCCCGCCCGUGCACCUGUGCACACGGAUGCUAUUUGAGGAUGGUCCAGUAAGAGUGCCUCCAUCCGAGCAGAGAGAGCAAGAGAUGUGUGCAGAAUCAAGCAGCUUACAGAGGCCGUGAGACCAAUCCUCAGACCUCAAACCAAGAACUUUCAUCUGCUAGAGCUGGAGUCCUCUUGUACAGGGGAAGACAUGCCCUGCAGAAGACAGGCAGACAAACAGACAGAUCCCUGACCUGACAGCCCGAACCCUAGAGGAGGACAACUUCAGGCUGAAGUCCUUCUCUUCAUUCCUUCAAAAUCCAGCACAGUCCCCUGCACCCAGCAGGUGCCAAAUAAUAAUUUGUGAUCUGCUGGCUUUAGAGUUAGAAGUGAAAUAAAUGAGUUUCCUGCCUGAGA
This is a long non-coding RNA of Canis lupus familiaris (dog), 667 nucleotides long. RefSeq lists it as uncharacterized. Lineage: Eukaryota; Metazoa; Chordata; Mammalia; Carnivora; Canidae. The transcript is spliced from 2 exons. The record is from RefSeq and is a predicted model, not a curated record.